RNAcentral lists this ribosomal RNA (493 nucleotides) under uncultured bacterium. RNAcentral's name for it is "bacterial SSU rRNA". It matches the Rfam family "Bacterial small subunit ribosomal RNA", at positions 28 to 510 of the family's 1533-position model. The record is from RNAcentral.
GACGAACGCUGGCGGCGUGCCUAACACAUGCAAGUCGAACGGAGAUUAUUGAUGAAGCUUGCGAUUUAAUAAUCUUAGUGGCGGACGGGUGAGUAACGCGUGGGUAACCUGCCCAUAAGAGGGGGAUAACAGCUGGAAACGGCUGCUAAUAUCGCAUACGCUUUCCGGGACACAAGUGCCGGAAAGGAAAGAUGGCCUCUACAUGUAAGCUAUCACUUAUGGAUGGACCCGCGUCUGAUUAGCUAGUUGGUGGGGUAGAAGCCUACCAAGGCUACGAUGGUUAGCUGGUCUGAGAGGAUGAUCAGCCACACUGGAACUGAGACACGGUCCAGACUCCUACGGGAGGCAGCAGUGGGGAAUAUUGCACAAUGGGCGAAAGCCUGAUGCAGCAACGCCGCGUGAGUGAUGAAGGCCUCGGGUUGUAAAGCUCUGUCUUGGGGUACGGAGUAAUAGACGGUACCCAAGGAGGAAGCCGACGGCUAACUACGUAGCC